UUGUCCGGAAUGACGUGCCAGACGUAUCAGCCCUUCGCCGAAAAAUCCCUCCACACCAGUCCAGCGGCCGCAAUGUCCGACAGCGCGUUGCCGACCGCCUUGAACACGGUGAUCUCGCUAUCGCUGGUCCUGCCCUUGCGCUCGCCCUUGCACAGCUCAUUGAGCGAACCGCGAAUAUCAUCUGGCGCAAUCACACCGUCGCGGAUCGGGCCGAGCAGCUCGCCGCUUUCCUUCAGCGCAUCGUAGGUAUCGAGCCAGAUGCGCCA
This 266-nucleotide unclassified non-coding RNA is filed under the name Hevea brasiliensis (rubber tree). Lineage: Eukaryota; Viridiplantae; Streptophyta; Magnoliopsida; Malpighiales; Euphorbiaceae. The record is from RNAcentral.